AGAGUUUGAUCCUGGCUCAGGAUGAACGCUGGCGGCGUGCCUAAUACAUGCAAGUCGAGCGAACGGACGAGAAGCUUGCUUCUCUGAUGUUAGCGGCGGACGGGUGAGUAACACGUGGAUAACCUACCUAUAAGACUGGGAUAACUUCGGGAAACCGGAGCUAAUACCGGAUAAUAUUUUGAACCGCAUGGUUCAAAAGUAAAAGACGGUCUUGCUGUCACUUAUAGAUGGAUCCGCGCUGCAUUAGCUAGUUGGUAAGGUAACGGCUUACCAAGGCAACGAUGCAUAGCCGACCUGAGAGGGUGAUCGGCCACACUGGAACUGAGACACGGUCCAGCCUCCUACGGGAGGCAGCAGUAGGGAAUCUUCCGCAAUGGGCGAAAGCCUGACGGAGCAACGCCGCGUGAGUGAUGAAGGUCUUCGGAUCGUAAAACUCUGUUAUUAGGGAAGAACAUAUGUGUAAGUAACUGUGCACAUCUUGACGGUACCUAAUCAGAAAGCCACGGCUAACUACGUGCCAGCAGCCGCGGUAAUACGUAGGUGGCAAGCGUUAUCCGGAAUUAUUGGGCGUAAAGCGCGCGUAGGCGGUUUUUUAAGUCUGAUGUGAAAGCCCACGGCUCAACCGUGGAGGGUCAUUGGAAACUGGAAAACUUGAGUGCAGAAGAGGAAAGUGGAAUUCCAUGUGUAGCGGUGAAAUGCGCAGAGAUAUGGAGGAACACCAGUGGCGAAGGCGACUUUCUGGUCUGUAACUGACGCUGAUGUGCGAAAGCGUGGGGAUCAAACAGGAUUAGAUACCCUGGUAGUCCACGCCGUAAACGAUGAGUGCUAAGUGUUAGGGGGUUUCCGCCCCUUAGUGCUGCAGCUAACGCAUUAAGCACUCCGCCUGGGGAGUACGACCGCAAGGUUGAAACUCAAAGGAAUUGACGGGGACCCGCACAAGCGGUGGAGCAUGUGGUUUAAUUCGAAGCAACGCGAAGAACCUUACCAAAUCUUGACAUCCUUUGACAACUCUAGAGAUAGAGCCUUCCCCUUCGGGGGACAAAGUGACAGGUGGUGCAUGGUUGUCGUCAGCUCGUGUCGUGAGAUGUUGGGUUAAGUCCCGCAACGAGCGCAACCCUUAAGCUUAGUUGCCAUCAUUAAGUUGGGCACUCUAAGUUGACUGCCGGUGACAAACCGGAGGAAGGUGGGGAUGACGUCAAAUCAUCAUGCCCCUUAUGAUUUGGGCUACACACGUGCUACAAUGGACAAUACAAAGGGCAGCGAAACCGCGAGGUCAAGCAAAUCCCAUAAAGUUGUUCUCAGUUCGGAUUGUAGUCUGCAACUCGACUACAUGAAGCUGGAAUCGCUAGUAAUCGUAGAUCAGCAUGCUACGGUGAAUACGUUCCCGGGUCUUGUACACACCGCCCGUCACACCACGAGAGUUUGUAACACCCGAAGCCGGUGGAGUAACCUUUUAGGAGCUAGCCGUCGAAGGUGGGACAAAUGAUUGGGGUGAAGUCGUAACAAGGUAGCCGUAUCGGAAGGUGCGGCUGGAUCACCU
RNAcentral lists this ribosomal RNA (1540 nucleotides) under Staphylococcus aureus M0177. Its description in RNAcentral is "16S ribosomal RNA". It matches the Rfam family "Bacterial small subunit ribosomal RNA". RNAcentral also lists the same sequence under 1 other name. The record is from RNAcentral. Lineage: Bacteria; Bacillati; Bacillota; Bacilli; Caryophanales; Staphylococcaceae.